This 468-nucleotide ribosomal RNA is filed under the name uncultured bacterium. Its description in RNAcentral is "partial 16S ribosomal RNA". It matches the Rfam family "Bacterial small subunit ribosomal RNA", at positions 28 to 507 of the family's 1533-position model. The record is from RNAcentral.
GACGAACGCUGGCGGCGUGCUUAACACAUGCAAGUCGAACGGAAAGGCCCUGCUUUUGUGGGGUGCUCGAGUGGCGAACGGGUGAGUAACACGUGAGUAACCUGCCCUUGACUUUGGGAUAACUUCAGGAAACUGGGGCUAAUACCGGAUAGGAGCUCCUGCUGCAUGGUGGGGGUUGGAAAGUUUCGGCGGUUGGGGAUGGACUCGCGGCUUAUCAGCUUGUUGGUGGGGUAGUGGCUUACCAAGGCUUUGACGGGUAGCCGGCCUGAGAGGGUGACCGGCCAAAUUGGGACUGAGAUACGGCCCAGACUCCUACGGGAGGCAGCAGUGGGGAAUAUUGCACAAUGGGCGGAAGCCUGAUGCAGCAACGCCGCGUGCGGGAUGACGGCCUUCGGGUUGUAAACCGCUUUCGCCUGUGACGAAGCGUGAGUGACGGUAAUGGGUAAAGAAGCACCGGCUAACUAUGUG